CUUGCCAUGACUUCACAACAAGGUUACCAAGAAGCAGAUGGGCUGUGAGGCCCACAAUCCCCCUUGUCUAAACAUAACUAGCAUUGAUAAUUAAUUAGCUGAAGCAGCAGGGGGAAUUAUAGAAAAGUGGAAAAGUGCAGGAGCAAUUCCCCCAGAUACACUUGGGAGACUUGGGCCACCAUCAGAAAGACAACAGCAAGCACACUGAAGCAAUAAUGACUGAAUGGUACUCUGACUUAUUAAUGCAAUUUCCAACAAAGCCUUGCUCAGUAUGAGGAUUAUGGAUAUCAAAUACGGAAAAUUUGGCUGCAUAAAGCUUUGCUCAAGCUACAUAAUUUUAACACUUGCAUCUUAAAAAGCUGCGAGCUCAUUUGGCUUCAUGUUUGGCUUCAUUGGAUGUUAUUAGUUUUCUAUCAUUGCUGUAACAAUUGCAAUAAACAGUGACUUAAAACAACA
Peromyscus maniculatus bairdii (prairie deer mouse) is the source of this 456-nucleotide long non-coding RNA. RefSeq lists it as uncharacterized. The record is from RefSeq and is a predicted model, not a curated record. NCBI's taxonomy places the organism in Eukaryota, Metazoa, Chordata, Mammalia, Rodentia, Cricetidae.